CUUGUGCUUYUUGCCAUUCUCAUGCGCUUUCACAUUCUGGAGCCUGCUCUGGAAGGUGGUUUUGCAGAAGAGGCACUCUACCACAUACUCAUCGUUGCCAUCCAGACCACCAUCCCUGRGCCAAUGCUCACGCAGGGGGUGGCUGGGGUCCUUCAACCARGAUGGCUGGAACCUGUUGGUGAGGCCAUGUGGCUUGCUGGCCUUGUAUGCACC
This 213-nucleotide long non-coding RNA is filed under the name Dunaliella salina. RNAcentral describes it as "long non-coding RNA (DSAL_LNC000114)". Lineage: Eukaryota; Viridiplantae; Chlorophyta; Chlorophyceae; Chlamydomonadales; Dunaliellaceae. The record is from RNAcentral.